This 430-nucleotide ribosomal RNA is filed under the name uncultured Lachnospiraceae bacterium. RNAcentral describes it as "partial 16S ribosomal RNA". It matches the Rfam family "Bacterial small subunit ribosomal RNA", at positions 341 to 792 of the family's 1533-position model. Lineage: Bacteria; Bacillati; Bacillota; Clostridia; Lachnospirales; Lachnospiraceae. The record is from RNAcentral.
ACGGGAGGCAGCAGUGGGGAAUAUUGGACAAUGGGGGAAACCCUGAUCCAGCGACGCCGCGUGAGUGAAGAAGUAUUUCGGUAUGUAAAGCUCUAUCAGCAGGGAAGAUAAUGACGGUACCUGACUAAGAAGCCCCGGCUAACUACGUGCCAGCAGCCGCGGUAAUACGUAGGGGGCAAGCGUUAUCCGGAUUUACUGGGUGUAAAGGGAGCGUAGACGGUAUGGCAAGUCUGAUGUGAAAACCCAAGGCUCAACCAUGGGACUGCAUUGGAAACUGUCAAACUAGAGUGCAGGAGGGGUAAGCGGAAUUCCUAGUGUAGCGGUGAAAUGCGUAGAUAUUAGGAGGAACACCGGUGGCGAAGGCGGCUUACUGGACUGUAACUGACGUUGAGGCUCGAAAGCGUGGGGAGCAAACAGGAUUAGCCUGGUA